CACAAAAUAUGUGUUAAACAGGUCGUAACACAUUUUGUGUUACUACGGACACAUUGUGUGUUAAUAUUGUGCUUAACUGUUUACACAUUGACUGUGUUAAACACAUUUAAACAGUAUGUUGGAAUACAAUGCAUUUUUGCCUGUAGUCAAAUGGCACUGUGUUAUGAGUUUAUGUAGUUUAUUUAUCAUGAUGGUAAUAUAAAAUAAGCAUUUGUGAGUAUGUGGCUAAAAAUUCUAUAUUUCGGGGUUUAUACUGUGAAUUUCUGCACGCGCAUGCGCAGUGACGUUCUUUUUCAACUGACGCUCUCCCAGAGCUCUAUCGGAUAACGCACCUCUCUGCCUCAGGAGAUGGAAGUCGAGGAACAAAUUACACCGCGUUCUUGCAACUGUCUUCAUAGACAGAAAGGAAAUAUGGAGAAAACUAUUCACAGAUGGCAAUGUUGGAGAUCUGAUAGCCUUAGUCAAACAGGUCUCAACUAUCUUUUGAUUGAAUAUUGAAAUUUGACAGAUUUUCAAGUUCAUUGACACUGAUGUAAAUGCAGGAGUAAAGGAGCUUGGCAAAUUUCAAAUAUAUUAUAUUGCAAGCAACACCCCGGACUCAUUAGAAAGAAGUGUGCAGUGUCCUUUAACAGAUUCAACUCAGACUGGCAACACAACUAGUUUGCUGACGCUGCUUGAAGAAAAGCCUCUUCAAUCCUGAGAGAACAUGAAGACUGUCAAAAAGUUGCUGUCAGUGUCCUUGUAGAGAAACAUGGAUUCUAUCCUUCUGGUAUAGAAAAGCUGGUACUAGCAAAAGAGAUUCUGUCAUUGUUCCCCUCAGGUGCCCUUUGGUGAAAAUGAGGGACAUGAGAAUGCCAUCACACAGUCAGACGAAAGCUUCAACAGAGCCAGUGGGUGUACAGUUUAAAACAUCAUCAUUGUACACCGCAACCUUCUUCACCAAGUCCAGAUGAAACCGUACCAAGUGAGUUGUUGUCUCUGAUAAAGAAGAUGCGACCAGACAAUUUAUCAUCAAUAAAGACUGCAAUCAAUCAAACCUUCAGUUACAGAAGAAGAUGGAUAACAACAAAAUCCCUUCAAAAUCUCUUGCUGAAAUCUUCAAGGACUAUCCCAGAUUUCUUGACAUGCCAGCUUUGAUGGACAUUGAAUUUUCCAAGCUCACAGAUAGGAACGAAGACUUGUUUAUCCAGAAAAGGGAAGGGACGAUAAUUCCAGAACUCAAGGAAAUAGCAUCUUGGAGAAGAAUAUUGACAUCAGACUCUUACUGAAGAUGGCUGACAAUCAGCAUGAUGAUGAGCUGUUAAACUGUUAAAGAUCCUUAUUCAUCUUCUUCCACCCACUGCCUCUGGGAGAAGUGUUGCUGGGAGUAAAUGCUGUGUGACUUCUGCUGUGUCCUACCUGUUGGAGCAAGUGCCGGCUGGUACCACCGUUACAUCUUUGCUCACUGAAUCCAUGAAAGGGACCCUGAAGUCAGCUCAGCCGCAGUUGGUUUCUAUUGGUUGUCUAGGACAUGGAUCCUUGUACGUGUACGUGUACUUGUAGCUGUGGCAAAGAAUGACUCUUUUGCUCUUCCACUCGAUCCUGAAAGCCUGACCUGUGCUGUAGACAGACUUUUCAAAUUCUUCUGGCUGUGCAAUUUUCAGUAUCCAUGCCAACUGUCUUCUGUUUUUUUUUUUUUUGAGUAUAUAUAUAUAUAUAUAUAUAUGACUUGUCCUUGUCCCAGUCAUCUUGCACACGAUUAAAGGUCAUGGAAUUAAUUGCUAAGGUGCAGUCUUGUACCUAAUUGAAAUAAGCAUGUACACCUAUCCAAAGUGUCUUUAAAAUGAUUUUGUAAUUUGGCAUUUAAGGGAAAUGCAUGCACUCUCUGAUAGUCACAACCUAACUUUAAUUUGUAGUCAAAAUCGUUGCCCUAGAACAUAUCAUAAUUUAAAUUCCUUUUUAAAACAUCUCAACAGAUCAUUUUAAAAUUAAUUCAUGCCCUUCUGAAGAGUCAGGACACACAGGGAACGAGAGUUUUAAGAGUUAAGUAUUUUGAUGAACAUAUUUUUUUCUUCAGUGUCAUCAGAACAAAUCGUUUUCUCUUUGCUUUGCUGCCUGGGGACUUAAUAGAUUACAGACCUCUAGACAUUUUGUCAUUUUGUGAUCAGCAGUAUGUAUCUCCUAAAUACAAAAUAUUGUUUUAAACAUGUUAGUGAUUGAAACUUUGGUAACACUUUAUAAUAACUACACACUUUAAAUCAUUUAUUAAGCAUUAGCAAAUGGUGAAUUCAUUAAUUUGUAAAGCGUUAACUCUACAUUAUAAGACAUUAGCGGUUUACAAAUGCUGUAUUCUUGACUUAUAAGUAAAUGUUUAAUGUGCUUAAUAAUUGUACCUUCACACUUUGCUUCUGAUUAUUUUUUCACUACUAAAUUAAGGACUGCAUUAUUUACAAACCAUUUGUAUUUGAAAGUAUGAAUUAUAAAAGUACAAUUGUUAGGCACAUUAUAAAUGUGCUUAUAAGUCAAGAAAACAGCCUUUGUAGCUGUAUUUAGAAACCCAUUACUAAUAUCUUAUAAUGUAGAUUUAAUGCUUAACAAAUAGUGAAUCAACUACUGUACUUGCUAAUGCUUAAUAAAUAAUUUAUAUUGUGUCGUUACUAUAAAGGGUUACCUAAAUGUUUGAAGUGUUUUGACUAUAUUUGACAAUGAUUUAUUUUGUUAAGACAAGCACCUUACAUGUGGGUGAAUGUAUAAUCAGUGUGCUAUGGUUAUUAAUUUCUUUCACUAGAGAAUAAUUUUGAAAAUGGAUAUGUUUCAUACAUAUUUGACAUUUUAUUGGCAUGCGUAACAGAUACGAGUUCAAUUUAAUGAAUACUUUUAUAAAGUGAGUUUUUAUAUUAUGUACAAUGAAUUGCUGUAAAACAUUUGAAUGCAUUUGGGAAAAUUAAACAGUAUGUGAACAGUG
Molecule: non-coding RNA, 2944 nt
Organism: Danio rerio (zebrafish)
Lineage: Eukaryota; Metazoa; Chordata; Actinopteri; Cypriniformes; Danionidae
Source: RefSeq, a predicted model, not a curated record